GGGCUGGGAGCCCUGGGACAGCAGGUCGCGGACAGUGGGGAGCUGUGAACUUGAGGGGAAGAAGACACAGCCAGGGAAAGACUCUCUGCCGUUCUGGAGAGGAUGCUUCUAAGGGCAGCUGCAUGACUCUCCAUCCUCCUCUUCUGCCAUUUCACGAAGAGAUCACAAACCCAGAUGGAGCAGCAAAAUAUGGAAGAGCCUCUCUCAGCCUGGAUCCCUGAGGUCUCUCGUGGAGGAUGAUUGCCUUGCAGAGUCUCUUGGGACCUUAAUGGAUGUUGCAUGAAUGAGAAUAAACUUUGCUAUGCCCUGCUCUGAUACUUUAGACUUUAUUAUCACAGCACAACCCACCUUAUCUUGAUUGGUACUUUUUGUUUUUUUUUUUUUCUUUAAUUUUCAGUCAAAAAUAUUUUUUAAAAUCUGGCUUAGAGAAUAGUUCUAAG
Bos taurus (domestic cattle) is the source of this 440-nucleotide long non-coding RNA. The record is from Ensembl. NCBI's taxonomy places the organism in Eukaryota, Metazoa, Chordata, Mammalia, Artiodactyla, Bovidae.